AGGGAAGGAGGAGGGGAUAGUGUCUGCUCUUUUUGCUUUCCAGCCCAUUUCAGUGGGUGUCCCAGUCAAGCUCAUCAACAGUACUAAACUGGGAGCUUCUAAGGCAUUCACUACAUUUCUGGAUGCAAAGGAGAAUCAAGCAUAGUUCUGCAUAAAAUAAAUAUAGGAUAUGCCCUUUUGUGAGAUAAACAGCUAUCAAGAUUACACUUUACAGCAGCACUGAAAAGAAAAGCAUUGCAGUUACAGGAAAUUCCACUUGAUGGCAG
Molecule: long non-coding RNA, 266 nt
Organism: Bombina bombina (fire-bellied toad)
Lineage: Eukaryota; Metazoa; Chordata; Amphibia; Anura; Bombinatoridae
Exons: 4
Source: RefSeq, a predicted model, not a curated record